UAGGGAAUCUUCGGCAAUGGACGGAAGUCUGACCGAGCAACGCCGCGUGAGUGAAGAAGGUUUUCGGAUCGUAAAGCUCUGUUGUUAGAGAAGAACGUUGGUAGGAGUGGAAAAUCUACCAAGUGACGGUAACUAACCAGAAAGGGACGGCUAACUACGUGCCAGCAGCCGCGGUAAUACGUAGGUCCCGAGCGUUGUCCGGAUUUAUUGGGCGUAAAGCGAGCGCAGGCGGUUCUGUAAGUCUGAAGUUAAAGGCAGUGGCUUAACCAUUGUACGCUUUGGAAACUGGAGGACUUGAGUGCAGAAGGGGAGAGUGGAAUUCCAUGUGUAGCGGUGAAAUGCGUAGAUAUAUGGAGGAACACCGGUGGCGAAAGCGGCUCUCUGGUCUGUAACUGACGCUGAGGCUCGAAAGCGUGGGGAGCAAACAGG
RNAcentral lists this ribosomal RNA (429 nucleotides) under Bacillota bacterium. RNAcentral's name for it is "Firmicutes bacterium partial 16S ribosomal RNA". It matches the Rfam family "Bacterial small subunit ribosomal RNA", at positions 355 to 776 of the family's 1533-position model. Lineage: Bacteria; Bacillati; Bacillota. The record is from RNAcentral.